Molecule: ribosomal RNA, 474 nt
Filed under: uncultured bacterium
Lineage: Bacteria
Description: bacterial SSU rRNA
Rfam family: Bacterial small subunit ribosomal RNA
Source: RNAcentral
CCUGGAGACUCCUACGGGAGGCAGCAGUGAGGAAUAUUGGUCAAUGGGCGAGAGCCUGAGCCAGCCAAGUCGCGUGAAGGAUGACUGUCUUAUGGAUUGUAAACUUCUUUUAUACGGGAAUAACAAGAGCCACGUGUGGCUCCCUGCAUGUACCGUAUGAAUAAGCAUCGGCUAACUCCGUGCCAGCAGCCGCGGUAAUACGGAGGAUGCGAGCGUUAUCCGGAUUUAUUGGGUUUAAAGGGUGCGUAGGCGGCCUGUUAAGUCAGCGGUGAAAUAUAGGAGCUUAACUCCUAAAUUGCCAGUGGUACUGGCGGGGUUGAGUGUAGAUGAGGUAGGCAGAAUGCGUGGUGUAGCGGUGAAAUGCAUAGAUAUCACGCAGAACUCCGAUUGCGAAGGCAGCUUACUAAGGUACAACUGACGCUGAAGCACGAAAGCGUGGGUAUCAAACAGGAUUAGAAACCCCGGUAGUCCUAG